ACCACUUAAUGACAUCACACGGUGGAACUGAGCAUUUUGACCUUUGGUCAAGGGAGGCGCCCAGGAGGCAUCUGGAACAGAUGUGAGAACCACUUCAGCUGACUCCUCUCGACGUGGAAGAGUAGCCCUCUUGUGGUGACCGGUAGUGAUAAGUGCCCCUGGCGCCGAGAGCAUGUUGCCAGUUCAUGAGAGAUGGGCACGAGAUUAAAACCACAAAGACAGCACCGUGUCCUGGCCAUUUCUUCACAACACAACGCAGAUAAACUAUACAACGAACGAAAGAUGAACAGAUGGGUUAUUCCUGCAACCAAGCUGGGCUUUUGCACGACCAAGUUCAGUGUGGUUACAAGAGCAGUGGCUCUACUCUGAGCUCCUCCCAUGUGACUGAGCUCCUCACCCUAGACUUUAGACUUUUAUUGUCCCCAAGGGGAAAUUAAUUUGCACGCACACAGAACUUGUUUGUUACAUACAGCAAAAACCCGGCACAACACAACACACAGACACAUUACAGUACACUCAGUGGGGUCUGGUGUUUAGAAAUGUGAUGGCUGAGGGCAUAAGGCUUCUGCCAAAGCAGGCCCUAUCUCUAAGGGAGCGCUCAGCCACCCUGCAGAAGAAACUCAUUUUGGCUUUGUAUCCAGGAUCUCGUUCUUACUGUCAUUGCCCAAAGCUCAUGACCAUAGGCGAGGGGAGGAUUUUAGAUUGACCGGCAAAUCGAGAGCUUUGCCUUCCGGCUCAGCUCCCUCUUCACCACAAUGGUCCAAUACAGAACGGUGAAACAAAACACAACUCGAGGUAUUUGUUUGAUAAGAUAACAACAAGCUAACAUGACUUCAAGCUCAAGUUGAUUUAGCACAAUAUGAGACCUUUAUAAUGAUGACUAUGCCACAUUUUGUCUUGAUAUUUUUGCAGACAGUUUCUCAUAAUAAUAAAAAUAUCUCAAAGAGUCAUCCGUCCACACAUCUGAUAAUUCCAUGCCCGACAUUCCCAUUUUGCUUUUCUGAUGCUCAUCUGCUAACGCUGCUACUUGUGUUCCG
Boleophthalmus pectinirostris (great blue-spotted mudskipper) is the source of this 1037-nucleotide long non-coding RNA. RefSeq lists it as uncharacterized. The transcript is spliced from 3 exons. The record is from RefSeq and is a predicted model, not a curated record. NCBI's taxonomy places the organism in Eukaryota, Metazoa, Chordata, Actinopteri, Gobiiformes, Gobiidae.